GACAGAGGUGCCGAGCGUUAGGCGGAAUCACUGGGCUUAAAGCGUGUGUAGGCGGACUUCUAAGUGCCUUGUGAAAUCCCACGGCUCAACCGUGGAACUGCUGGGCAUACUGGGAGUCUUGGGCCAUUCAGGGGGCAACUGGAACAAGCGGUGGAGCGGUGAAAUGCGUAGAUAUCGAGAGGAACACCUGCGGCGAAGGCGGGUUGCUGGGCUGAUACUGACGCUGAGGCGCGAAAGCUAGGGGAGCGAACGGG
This 254-nucleotide ribosomal RNA is filed under the name uncultured bacterium. RNAcentral's name for it is "partial 16S ribosomal RNA". It matches the Rfam family "Bacterial small subunit ribosomal RNA", at positions 524 to 776 of the family's 1533-position model. The record is from RNAcentral.